UUUAUGCUGUCAUGAUCAUCACACAGCUUUAUGCCAGUUCUGCUUCAUUAAAUUAUUGAUAGAGAGAGCUGAAAUAUGUCUGAGCCUAGU
Small nucleolar RNA from Papaver somniferum (opium poppy), 90 nucleotides. The record is from RefSeq and is a predicted model, not a curated record. NCBI's taxonomy places the organism in Eukaryota, Viridiplantae, Streptophyta, Magnoliopsida, Ranunculales, Papaveraceae.